Molecule: ribosomal RNA, 492 nt
Filed under: uncultured bacterium
Lineage: Bacteria
Description: partial 16S ribosomal RNA
Rfam family: Bacterial small subunit ribosomal RNA
Source: RNAcentral
AGUGAACGCUGGCGGUAGGCCUAACACAUGCAAGUCGAACGGCAGCACAGUAAGAGCUUGCUCUUACGGGUGGCGAGUGGCGGACGGGUGAGGAAUACAUCGGAAUCUACUUUUUCGUGGGGGAUAACGUAGGGAAACUUACGCUAAUACCGCAUACGACCUACGGGUGAAAGCAGGGGAUCUUCGGACCUUGCGCGAUUGAAUGAGCCGAUGUCGGAUUAGCUAGUUGGCGGGGUAGAGGCCCACCAAGGCGACGAUCCGUAGCUGGUCUGAGAGGAUGAUCAGCCACACUGGAACUGAGACACGGUCCAGACUCCUACGGGAGGCAGCAGUGGGGAAUAUUGGACAAAGGGCGCAAGCCUGAUCCAGCCAUACCGCGUGGGUGAAGAAGGCCUUCGGGUUGUAAAGCCCUUUUGUUGGGAAAGAAAAGCAGCAGGUUAAUACCCCGCUGUUCUGACGGUACCCAAAGAAUAAGCACCGGCUAACUUCGUG